GUGGGGUGCAACCUCCUUAUUGUCAACUCUUAUAAUAUGGAAAUGAUUGACACAAUGAAAAAUGAGGGACAAUCGGCGGGAGCGGCGGCGGCAGUGUUCGACAAUUGCUAUUUUAUGGCAUGUGAUUUUCCUGUUACUAGGUUCGAACAUUGUAAUAGGGAAGCAAAUAAGGUUGCUCAUGAACUUGCUAGGCUAGCAAAAAAUUUUGAGACUAGGGAUUGGUUUGAGGAGCCUAUGGAUGAUAUUGUAUCUCUUCUUAUUUACGAUUAA
RNAcentral lists this ribosomal RNA (270 nucleotides) under Triticum aestivum (bread wheat). RNAcentral's name for it is "partial small subunit ribosomal RNA". The record is from RNAcentral. Lineage: Eukaryota; Viridiplantae; Streptophyta; Magnoliopsida; Poales; Poaceae.